UAUUAAAAAAAAGUUGUCUUGCCUUUUAUGAUGUAGCCUGGGAAAUCACAGACAUCCACUUCUAUCAGUCUCAACUCACCCAGGUUCAUGGGGGGCAGGAUGGAGAAUGUGAUGUGACCUUUUGACAGUAAGUGUGCCAAAGUCACAUUGGAAGAAGAGCCUGUGGCCUGAGAAAUGUUCUUGUGAUCAUUUCUGGAGAAAAACCUUCUGCCACACUAGUCCAGGCCCAAUUUUAAUGAUUUUUAAACUUGGGGUUUUCUUUUCCCCAAUUUUUGAACCAAGUCUAAAUGCAAUGUUUCAGUUCAAAGUUUUAAAUUAUCAAGGGAGAAUUUUUCUCUCACCCAGAGCCCAGGCAAAGAUGAAUAAGCUUAUACGUAAUUCUUUCUGUGCCAGUUGGUUGACUUGCCUAAAUGCACUCUUUUUUUUGGACAAUGUAGCCUUUUGAAGGUCAUGGUUUCUAUUAUAGCUUCACUUUUAUUUUUUAGGCAUCCUUCUCCCUCACUGGAUGAAGCCCUCCAAGAAUAGCAACUGUGUCUCUUUCAUUUUCCUAUUUCUAGCAAACAGCACAAAUACACAGUAGAGGCUCAGUGAGUGUUUUUGAACUGAACAGACCCCUUUCCUUUAUUUGACCUCAUGCUUCUGUUCUUUAUUCAUUCAUUUCUGUUGACUUCAUUAUUUUAUCUUGUUUUUUUUUAAAAAAGUUAUUUGUUUUUUAAAGUCUGUGAUUCUUGGAGACACAGGCCCAUAGAUAUCUGAUAAAUUAAUAAUGUUAUGAGUUUAGCAUUUAUAUGAUUCUGUAUAUUUGCAAUGCAGCACGCAUAAAUAUUUCAGUGCCAUGCACUUAAAAGGUAGCAGGGUAGAAAAGCAUUUCCUUGGUUCUGUGGCCCCCUGGGGUGAUUCUUCCCUUUCAUUUCUUUCCAAAUACAAAGAAAGUAUACAUUUCAUCCCUCCUCCAACUUAUCCUAUAUGGACAUUGAAAGUCCUUUGAAAAGGCUGUGGCCUCUAGAAAUGGGCUAUGUGGAGAGGUAUUCCUCUAGAGCUAUUCCUCUCAAUCCUGGCUGAGUGCUGUUAGUUGUAAUUUCAGCAAAGCUGCUGGGUGCAGUAUCUUUGUGAGGCAACUUGUGGAUCCAGACAGUGAAGAGUGGAGGAUAAAUAAAGUCAGGAGGAGAAGGCUACCUUGAAGAUGUAUUUAAAAGAACAGACUCAGCAUUAUUUAUGGUAGAAUCUUGUUUUUGAUAAUUCCCAGUAUAUUUCUUUUUGUGUAGUUCUUCAACUCAUAAAAUGUUUCCCAUUGGUUCUGAUGUGGAUGACUCUGAAUUUUUCAUGUUAAUAGGGAGAAUGAGAGAAUGUUUUUUCUUUUCCAUUUGGUUGACAUAAUGUAAAGGAUAUUACAGGAUAUUGAAUACAGUUCCCUGUGCUUUACAGUAGGAUCUUGUCAUUUAUCCAUUCUCUGUAUAAUAGUUUACAUCUGCUAAUCUCAAAUUCCCCAUCUAUCCCUCCCCGACCCCCACCCUUGGCAAUCACAAGUCUGUUCUCCAUGUCUGUGUGUCUGUUUCUGUUUUGUAGAUAGGUUCAUUUGUGUCAUAUUUUAUUUAUUUAUUUCCACUGAGCAAGGGCAGGGACCGAACCCGCAACCUCAUGGUUCCUAGUCGGAUUCGUUAACCACUGCGCCACGACGGGAACUCCUCCUGUGUCAUAUUUUAGAUUCCACAUAUAAGUGAUAUCGUAUUGUAUUUGUCCUCUUUCUGACUUUAACUUAGCAGGAUAAUCUCUAGGUCCAUCCAUGUUGCUAAAAAUGGCAUUAUUUAUUUUUUAAUGGCUGAAUAGUAUCCCACUGUGUGUGUGUAUAUGUAUACACACAUAUUAUAUAUGUAUAUUACAUAUACAUAAUAGACAUACACAUAUACAUAUACAUUAUAUAUAAAAAUAUAUACUACAUUAUCUACAUUCACUUGUCAAUGAGCAUUUAGGUUGUUUCCAUGUCUUGGCUAUUGUACAUAGUGCUGCUACAAACAUAGGGGUGCAUGUAUCUUUUCGAAUUAUAGUUUUGUCUGGGCGUAUGCCCAGGAGUGGGAUGUAUUGCAACUCUAUUUUUAGUUUUUUGAGGAACUUCCAUACUGUUCUCCAUAGUGGCUGCACCAAUUUACAUUCCCACCAACAGUUAGGAGGGUACAAUUUUCUCCAUACCCUCUCCAGCAUUUAUUAUUUGUAGACUUUUUAAUGAUGGCCAUUCUGACCUAUGUAAACUAUAAAUGCAAAUCAAAACUACAAUGUACCUCACUGUAGUUUAGCUUUGAUUUGCAUUUCUCUAAUAACUGGUGAUGAUGAGCAUCUUUUCAUGUGCCUACUGGCCAUCUGUAUCUUGAAAAUGGGAAAGUUUUAAAAAUUACUUCCCAUUGUAUUCUAUCCCAAUAGAUUGGAUAUAGUUAUCUGUGCUGUACAGUAAGACCUCAUUGCUUAUCUAUUAAAUGCACUAGUUUGCAUCUACUAAUCCCAAACUCCCAGUCUAUCCCACACCCUCCCCCUUCCCCUUGGCAACCACAAAUCUAAAGAAUGUGUGUGUGUUUGUAUACCCAUGCAUACAUAUAUAUAUGACUGGGUCACUUUGCUCUACAGCAGAAAUUGGCACACUAUUGUAAAUCAACUAUACUUUAAUAAAAAAUAAAAAAGUUAAAAAGCGCAACACUUCAUAAAAAAAUGGUUUCCCAAACCUCCCUUUAAUCAUUAGUUUAAGCUUUUGCCCUCUCCUCACCCAAUCAACUCUUUUUGUGAGUAUCUUGGUUAAGCAGCAAACAUUGGCUUAUUAGAAUUUCAUCCCCUUCCCUUUAAUUUAACAAGGUCAGUAAUAAUAAGACUAAUACCCGGCAUUUGUAUUGUGCUUUGGCAUUUACAGCACAUUUUCACAUUAUUUCAAAAAUGUAGAUGAGAGAGUCCCACGGAGAAUUGUCCUGAACACUGCCCUCAUUUAAACACUGGUUACCACAUUCUUGGAUUGUGGCCAUGGGUUCCCCUCUCUGCCUUGCAGGCCAUCCUUACAAUCGCCAUCAGCUGCAUCUUCCUAAAGUCCUAUUUGGAUGUGUCACCUUUCUGCUCAAAAAAUUCAUGACUCACUUUUGGUAAUAUAAAUAUAAAGGCCAAAUUCCUUAGCCUGCUAUUUAAAACAUUCCAAAAUUGAGUCAACAUACUAUUUCAGUCUAAUCUCCUGUUUUUUUUUUUUUUUUUUUUUUUUUUUUUGUCUUUUUAGGGCCAUACCCAAAGCAUGUGGAGUUCCCAGGCUUGGGGUCAAAUUGGAGCUAUAUCUGCAGGCUUAUACCACAGCCGUAGCAACGCAGGAUCCGAGGCUUGUCUGUGACCUACACCACAGCUCACGGCAAUGCCAGAACCUUAACCCACUAAGCAAGGCCAGGGAUCAAACCUGUGUCCUCAUGGAUACUAGUCAGAUUUGUUUCCGCUGAGUCAUGAGGGAACUCCUCCUGUUACUCUUUCACAUAAAAUUUAUGCUUCAACCCAUCCACUAUUAUCCUUUCCACACCUUAGUUUUAGUUCUUAUUAUAGUUUUUUCAUGUGGAAUUAUCUCCCUUCAUCUUUUCCUGUUAAAAAUUUACUGAACAUCUAUUUAUUGUCUUUUUUUUUUUGUCUUUUUAGGGCCACACCUGUAGCAUAUGAAGGUUCCCAGGCUAGGGGUCAAAUUGGAGCUGUAGCUGCCGGCCUACACCACAGCCACAGCAACGCCAGAUAGGAGCCAUGUCUGGUACCUACACCACAGCUCACAGGCAAUGCUGGAUCCUUAACCCACCGAGUGAGGCCAGGGAUCGAACCCGUAACCUCAUGGUUCCUAGUUGGAUUCGUUUCUGCUGC
RNAcentral lists this long non-coding RNA (3858 nucleotides) under Sus scrofa (pig). RNAcentral describes it as "lncRNA (ENSSSCG00060063717.1)". The record is from RNAcentral. Lineage: Eukaryota; Metazoa; Chordata; Mammalia; Artiodactyla; Suidae.